This 729-nucleotide ribosomal RNA is filed under the name uncultured beta proteobacterium. Its description in RNAcentral is "bacterial SSU rRNA". It matches the Rfam family "Bacterial small subunit ribosomal RNA", at positions 754 to 1533 of the family's 1533-position model. Lineage: Bacteria; Pseudomonadati; Pseudomonadota; Betaproteobacteria. The record is from RNAcentral.
GGAAGGCGUGGGUAGCAUACAGGAUUAGAUACCCUGGUAGUCCACGCCGUACACGAUGAUAACUAGCCGUUGGGGGGAUUUACCCUCUAGUGGCGAAGCUAACGCGUUAGGUUAUCCGCCUGGGGAGUACGGCCGCAAGGUUAAAACUCAAAGGAAUUGACGGGGACCCGCACAAGCGGUGGAGCAUGUGGUUUGAUUCGAUGCAACGCGAAGAACCUUACCUGGUCUUGACAUCCUGCGAACUUUCUAGAAAUAGAUUGGUGCCUUCGGGAACGCAGUGACAGGUGCUGCAUGGCUGUCGUCAGCUCGUGUCGUGAGAUGUUGGGUUAAGUCCCGUAACGAGCGCAACCCCUAUCCUUAUUUGCCAGCACAUCAUGGUGGGAACUAUAAGGAGACUGCCGGUGAUAAACCGGAGGAAGGCGGGGACGACGUCAAGUCAUCAUGGCCCUUACGACCAGGGCUACACACGUGCUACAAUGGGAAGGACAAAGAGCCGCGAAGCCGUGAGGUGUAGCUAAUCUCAUAAACCUUUUCGUAGUCCGGAUUGGAGUCUGCAACUCGACUCCAUGAAGUCGGAAUCGCUAGUAAUCGUAGAUCAGAAUGCUACGGUGAAUACGUUCCCGGGUCUUGUACACUACCGCCACGUAAUCAUCUAGUGCGGACCGCCGUGCAGGUACGCACACAUAUGCGUAGAGUUCACUCAACGUGCACGUAGGAUAACGAUUAGUA